AAGUCGUAACAAGGUUUCCGUAGGUGAACCUGCGGAAGGAUCAUUAAGAAUGAGAGCCGGACCAUAUCGUGGGCGAAAGCUCGCACGUGCCAUGUCAAGCGUCCCGUAAACCUCCCACCCUUGUGUAUUAAUUCCUUCUGUUGCUUUGGCAGGCCGCGACCCUCUGGGGGAGCGCUGGCAUUUGGCUUGGAGAGUGCCUGCCAGAGGACCAAACUCUGUAAUUUAAUGCCGUCUGAGAUACUACGAAAAUAGUUAAAA
RNAcentral lists this unclassified non-coding RNA (258 nucleotides) under plant metagenome. Its description in RNAcentral is "partial contains small subunit ribosomal RNA and internal transcribed spacer 1". The stretch from base 1 to 46 matches the Rfam family "Eukaryotic small subunit ribosomal RNA", at positions 1786 to 1831 of the family's 1831-position model. The record is from RNAcentral.